This 301-nucleotide ribosomal RNA is filed under the name uncultured bacterium. Its description in RNAcentral is "partial 16S ribosomal RNA". It matches the Rfam family "Bacterial small subunit ribosomal RNA", at positions 509 to 807 of the family's 1533-position model. The record is from RNAcentral.
CAGUCGCCACGGGAAUACGUAGGGUCCAAGCGUUAAUCGGAAUUACUGGGCGUAAAGCGUGCGCAGGCGGUUAUAUAAGACAGAUGUGAAAUCCCCGGGCUCAACCUGGGAACUGCAUUUGUGACUGUAUAGCUAGAGUACGGCAGAGGGGGAUGGAAUUCCGCGUGUAGCAGUGAAAUGCGUAGAUAUGCGGAGGAACACCGAUGGCGAAGGCAAUCCCCUGGGCCUGUACUGACGCUCAUGCACGAAAGCGUGGGGAGCAAACAGGAUUAGAUACCCGUGUAGUCCCUGUCUCUUAUAC